This is a long non-coding RNA of Olea europaea var. sylvestris, 1258 nucleotides long. RefSeq lists it as uncharacterized. The record is from RefSeq and is a predicted model, not a curated record. The transcript is spliced from 3 exons. Lineage: Eukaryota; Viridiplantae; Streptophyta; Magnoliopsida; Lamiales; Oleaceae.
GUGAUGGAGCUAGGCACUCGACGAGCCUCGACGGCCGCCCAGGCUGCGAGACAGCCUUUUUUCAAGACGAAAGACAACCUUUUUCUUAGAUGAAAAUGAAUGGGAUGAGAACUGGAAUCACACGUUACUUAAAAGUGCUAUCAACCACUUGCGGUUUCUACCUUUCAUAAAAUAUAAUCUCAAUCUGCCUAAAAGUAUGGCUCCUGACUGUCCUGAGAGAAGAAAUAGCCCAUAAAAUGGCCAUUUUAAGCCACUGAUUGUACGGUCGAGGCCGACCAGAGGAAGAUUGAUGGUGGCCUUCUGCAUUUUCAGAAUGAAGAAUCGUGUAUACCAACAAUUCAUUUACGUGCUCCAAAUGUUGUGGAGCUUGUUGGCAGUGCACGGGAAACGUGGGGCCAACAUCACGUGAUUAACCACGGUCGUUUCACGUGCUCAACAGUUGUAUUCGCAUCCACGGGUUAUGGAGUUGCUAGGAUUCCACCAUUUACUCCAAUUAACGUGGCAUGAGGGCUUCAACAUUAUAGACUCUGCAGUUGAGCAUGCUAAAUCACUUUUGUUCCCAGGACAAUGAAGAGUUUAGGAAUACACAUGGAGAAUUUAAUUUUAUUGAGUCCGUGAUAGAGAUAGCAGCAUAGUCAUUCGUGCAACAAGAAAUUCGGCUAUAGUUAAUGCAAUAAAUGUUGAUUGUUGUACAUGUGGUAAUCAAAAUGAAAAUGGAGAAAAGAGCAUCUCCAAUGAGACAAUGGAUCAGAGAAAUUGUAAGCCUCGUGCACAAGAAAGAGGAGAUAGAGAGAGCGAAGAUAAAUUAUAAAAAUUAAAUGGUGAAUGUGCUAAAGAUUCUCUUGUUUUUUUUUUUUUCUUGUCAUAUAAAUAUUUUGCGAUGAUGUGACAUACUCUUUAGUGUAAUCCACAAUCCCAUUGAAAAUGCUCUUAGAGUUACAGUAUAUUAUUCACGCAUUUACGAGCAUUUUAAGUAGCAUUUGGAUUGCUUUUGACAAAUAUUAAUACCAUUUGAUCCGAGUUGUAAGUAAUAUCAAACUUUGAAUGAAUCAAAGGCUCGUGUAAGAAAUUUUGAAAUCCAAUAUUUGCUACAUCUACAUAAUGAAUAAUCUAUUCCAGUGCUUCUUGUCUUUCAGAGACAAUGUUGUAUACAUCGAGACGAUAGUUUGAUGAAAUUAGAUAAGAUCUAGUUGUAUUAUAGAAAGUUAUAUCAAUUAUUCUAUUAAUUAGUUAAGGAUUUCAGAUGGUGGGAGGGAGU